GACGAACGCUGGCGGCGUGCCUAAUACAUGCGAGUAGAACGCUGAAGGAGGAGCUUGCUUCUCUGGAUGAGUUGCGAACGGGUGAGUAACGCGUAGGUAACCUGCCUGGUAGCGGGGGAUAACUAUUGGAAACGAUAGCUAAUACCGCAUAAGAGUAGAUGUUGCAUGACAUUUGCUUAAAAGGUGCAAUUGCAUCACUACCAGAUGGACCUGCGUUGUAUUAGCUAGUUGGUGGGGUAACGGCUCACCAAGGCGACGAUACAUAGCCGACCUGAGAGGGUGAUCGGCCACACUGGGACUGAGACACGGCCCAGACUCCUACGGGAGGCAGCAGUAGGGAAUCUUCGGCAAUGGACGGAAGUCUGACCGAGCAACGCCGCGUGAGUGAAGAAGGGUUUCGGAUCGUAAAGCUCUGUUGUAAGAGAAGAACGAGUGUGAGAGUGGAAAGUUCACACUGUGACGGUAUCUUACCAGAAAGGGACGGCUAACUACGUG
RNAcentral lists this ribosomal RNA (495 nucleotides) under uncultured bacterium. Its description in RNAcentral is "partial 16S ribosomal RNA". It matches the Rfam family "Bacterial small subunit ribosomal RNA", at positions 28 to 507 of the family's 1533-position model. The record is from RNAcentral.